ACCUGCUUGGUCGCGUCUGAGGGGGCUUGUAGGUGGCUCUGGCUGAAACAGGCGCCUGCGAGAGUCUGUAGGAGGGAAACCGCCAUGGACGAUCAGGGUUGCCCUCGGUGUAAGACCACCAAAUAUCGGAACCCCUCCUUGAAGCUGAUGGUGAAUGUCUGCGGACACACUCUUUUUCAACUUGACCAACAAUGUGGAUUUGGACAACACCAAAAAGAAAAUGGAGAUAUACCAAAAGGAAAACAAAGAUGUUAUUCAGAAAAAUAAAUUAAAGCUG
RNAcentral lists this small RNA (277 nucleotides) under Pan troglodytes (chimpanzee). Its description in RNAcentral is "processed transcript". The record is from RNAcentral. Lineage: Eukaryota; Metazoa; Chordata; Mammalia; Primates; Hominidae.